RNAcentral lists this ribosomal RNA (466 nucleotides) under Vreelandella stevensii. RNAcentral's name for it is "partial 16S ribosomal RNA". It matches the Rfam family "Bacterial small subunit ribosomal RNA", at positions 338 to 796 of the family's 1533-position model. The record is from RNAcentral. Lineage: Bacteria; Pseudomonadati; Pseudomonadota; Gammaproteobacteria; Oceanospirillales; Halomonadaceae.
CCUACGGGAGGCUGCAGUGGGGAAUAUUGGACAAUGGGCGAAAGCCUGAUCCAGCCAUGCCGCGUGUGUGAAGAAGGCCUUCGGGUUGUAAAGCACUUUCAGUGGGGAAGAAAGCCUUGGUGCUAAUACCCUCGAGGAAGGACAUCACCCACAGAAGAAGCACCGGCUAACUCCGUGCCAGCAGCCGCGGUAAUACGGAGGGUGCGAGCGUUAAUCGGAAUUACUGGGCGUAAAGCGCGCGUAGGCGGUCUGAUAAGCCGGUUGUGAAAGCCCCGGGCUCAACCUGGGAACGGCAUCCGGAACUGUCAGGCUAGAGUGCAGGAGAGGAAGGUAGAAUUCCCGGUGUAGCGGUGAAAUGCGUAGAGAUCGGGAGGAAUACCAGUGGCGAAGGCGGCCUUCUGGACUGACACUGACGCUGAGGUGCGAAAGCGUGGGUAGCAAACAGGAUUAGAUACCCUGGUAGUUC